Molecule: ribosomal RNA, 422 nt
Filed under: uncultured bacterium
Lineage: Bacteria
Description: bacterial SSU rRNA
Rfam family: Bacterial small subunit ribosomal RNA
Source: RNAcentral
UAAGGAAUAUUGGUCAAUGGACGCAAGUCUGAACCAGCCAUGCCGCGUGGAGGAUUAAGGCCCUCUGGGUUGUAAACUCCUUUUAUCUGGGAAGAAAUGUACUUUUUCUUGAGUACUUGACGGUACCAGAGGAAUAAGCACCGGCUAACUCCGUGCCAGCAGCCGCGGUAAUACGGAGGGUGCAAGCGUUAUCCGGAUUCACUGGGUUUAAAGGGUGCGUAGGUGGGCAGGUAAGUCAGUGGUGAAAUCUCCGGGCUUAACCCGGAAACUGCCGUUGAUACUAUUUGUCUUGAAUAUUGUGGAGGUAAGCGGAAUAUGUCAUGUAGCGGUGAAAUGCUUAGAUAUGAUAUAGAACACCAAUUGCGAAGGCAGCUUACUACACAAUCAUUGACGCUGAGGCGCGAAAGCGUGGGGAUCAAACA